This 465-nucleotide ribosomal RNA is filed under the name uncultured bacterium. Its description in RNAcentral is "partial 16S ribosomal RNA". It matches the Rfam family "Bacterial small subunit ribosomal RNA", at positions 28 to 507 of the family's 1533-position model. The record is from RNAcentral.
GACGAACGCUGGCGGCGUGCUUAACACAUGCAAGUCGAACGGAAAGGCCCCUUUUGGGUUUCUCGAGUGGCGGACGGGUGGGUAACACGUGCGUAACCAGCCCUUCCCUUCGGGAUAACUUCAGGCAACUGGGGCUAAUGCCUGCUGGGAAUCCUUUCCGCAUGGUGGGGGUUGGAAAGCUACGGCGGUCUUGGAUGGACUAGCGGGCUAUCAGCUUGUUGGUUGGGUAGUGGCUUACCAAGGCUUUGACGGGUAGCCGGCCUGGGUGGGCGACCGGCCACAUUGGGACUGAGGAACGGCCCAGACUCCUACGGGAGGCAACAGGGGGGAAAUUUGGACAAUGGGCGGAAGGCUGAUGGAGCAACGCCGCGGGGGGGAUGACGGGCUUCGGGGUGGAAAACGCUUUCAGCAGGGGAGGAGCUUGUGGUGACGGUACCUGCAGAAGAAGCACCGGCUAACUACGUG